AUUCGUGCCUAGCCCACGGGCCCCUCGGAGUGCUGGCCAGCCAGACUGCUGUCAUCAAGCUUGCCAGUCUCUUCCUGUUAUUGUCUAUCCUCAUUCUUGAGUAUUCCAGAAUCUUCCCGCUUCUUCUCCACUCCCCUGUUCCUUCUGCUUUUCUUUCCCUUUGAGUCCUAGAGUCUGGGCUUGUGCUCUCCUCCAGGGAGCCUGCCAGAGUGCCCCCUUUGUGUCAGAGGCACAAAGCUGCCUCCUAAGGGAGCUCCUGCCUGCACGGCAGGUGGAACAUGUGGAUUCAAACCCUUGCUCCAGCCUUACCCGUUAGGCGGCUCUCAGGAGGCACAGAUCACCAUGAAAUAACUUUCAGGCCAGAAGAAAUGUGCAUAUUACUGUACAGUUUGACCAUCAUGAUGACGUUGGGCAGGGGGGCUUUGGAAUUCAUUCUGCUGGCAGUAUCUGACCGCUAAUCACCACUUCUUGUUGUGUCUCCCUCGAUCUGAAUUGGCUCUGCUGUGUGUUUCUAUGACUCUGUGUUUCUGUGCCUCCAUGCGGAUGUGUUUCACUGUUUGUGCUUGCUGUGGCUUCU
This 577-nucleotide small RNA is filed under the name Pongo abelii (Sumatran orangutan). RNAcentral's name for it is "retained intron". The record is from RNAcentral. Lineage: Eukaryota; Metazoa; Chordata; Mammalia; Primates; Hominidae.